RNAcentral lists this long non-coding RNA (4833 nucleotides) under Brassica rapa (field mustard). RNAcentral's name for it is "long non-coding RNA (BRAP_LNC002348)". The record is from RNAcentral. Lineage: Eukaryota; Viridiplantae; Streptophyta; Magnoliopsida; Brassicales; Brassicaceae.
AGGAGCCAGAGACUUGCCGUCACGUUUUGUGAUCAUCAUACGGCGAGAGAGUGGCGUGUUAGUGUAGCCUGUGGCUAGACCAUCUUUUGUGGGGACUUCUUUAAAGACUCCUUGGUGCACAAGAAAUUUCAUUAUACGGUGGAGAUGCGACGGAGAGGCAGAGACUGCACCGGAGAGCUCGGCUAGUGUCACUGGCUGUGACGGAUGGUUUUCAAUGGCUUCUGGUAUCUUAAGAUCGAUGGCACACUUUGCAGCUGCUAUAUCUGCAAAGCCAAAGACAUAUCUCCAAAUGUCUAGAGAAGCUUUAGCUUCUUCAUCCAAUAAGUUUCUUUUACUUUCUUCCAUUUCGUUUCUAUGACGAGUGAUUUGUGAUUUGAGGGAUUAGUUUCUUUAUAGUGUUUAUAGAAUGAGGGCACAAUAGUAAUUUUGGCUUGUAAGAGAUGAUAGCAAUUUUGGCUUGUAAAAACAUUAGAAAUUUCGGCACCACAUAGGAAGAACCCACAUGUUUAAAAUGGAUCAAUAUGUGUGGUGUUGUCCAUGGGUUGUUGCUCUCGGCUUAUAUGCAGAGUAACAAUGAAGGAGGGGGUGGAGAAUUGAAUGAGAAGUGGUAACAAAUAUGAGCCAAAGGACGUUAUUGGCAAUCUUAAUUACUUGGACUGAAUGUUGAUUUUAGGCGUUACAGAUGUGAUUUUUGGGAAGCCUAGUAAUUUAAGUUAAGCUUUAAGGCGCCAAAACGGAAAGUAUUCUAAAAUGCUCUAGUGACUUUUUUUGUUUAAUGCUUAAAAAAUGCUCUAGUGCUAAUAUUUAAAUCUUAGUAUCCUUCAAUAAUCUCACUAUCUUUUUCAUUUUCUAAUUCCACCAUUAGUCUAGGUUUCACUUUUUUUUUUUUUUCAUGCGACCAGAUUCUUUUUAAGUGGCUUUUUGGAUAUAAUUUUUAAUUAUUGAUGACCAAUAUACUACAAAAAUCACAUGAACAAAGAUAAUAAAAUUAUAACAUGUAUAAUAUAAUUCAAACUCGGAUCAGGCAGUAUGAUAUGUUUUCGGGUUAGUCCACUCUGUAACACUAAAUGUGUUCUUUCCGGAGUCGACCGGAUCAGCCAAUAGGGUUUAUCAAAAAAAAAAAUAGUUCAAACUCAAAGGCAACAGAACAAAACUCAAAUAAAUUAAUAAAUAUAUAGAUAUAAACAACUUAUAAGUGCAAGUCAGUGUACCACAUUCAAUAGCACCUCCUUAAUCAACGAGAUUGAUAAAAAAAUAAGUGGAGGUACAAAGAACAACACGCAACAAUUCAGUUACUAAAAAAAGAACAACACAACAUGGCUGGUACUGAAACAAGCCUUGAUUAUUACGACACAACAUAACUGAUACGUAAACAAGCCUUGAUUAUUCUGACACGACACAACCAUUCACACUUAGCAUAACUUCUCACACGCGUACUACUUAGCCGAUAACCGCAAAUAGAUUCAGUUUUCUCGAAGUAAAUUUUGGUUUAGCUCUUCCCUAGCUUGGAUUAACCCUUUCAUAUCUUGCUUUUAUCACCGAUAUGCUAUGAUAACACACUGAACAUCAUCAAUAUCCCUAACUUCAUAUCGGGCAAAACCAGCUUCGUUAAGAACAAAGUCCCACUCUUUCAAAGUUCGUUCUUUGCCUGUGGUUGUGUGAGCCAUCAUCACCAUAUCAAGCAUCAAUCUCACAUGCUCUAACUUCUCAUCUCUGUCUUCCACUAUCAUCGCCUUUUUCUUCUCUCUGAUUACAGAUUCCACUAUCAACACUUUCCCGAUAUUUGGUGGGACAGCUUCUUUGCAAUUCUUCAAUAUUCUUAUGCAAUCUUUGUCUCCCCAAUCAUGUAACACCCACUGUCAUCAUUUUUCAACAGUUUAAGUUUCAGAUAUAACUAGUCAAUAUCAUGCAUUGAAAUAUGAUUUAAGCUUGCACCAAAAAAAAUAUGAUUGAAACCGCAGAUCUUUUAUAUGAACAAAUAUGUUUUUUUAAGGCUCUCAUAUUUCAAAGGGUCUCACAAAGAAAAUAAAGAACGAAUAACCUCAUCAGUUAAAGAAAUAAUUUGGGGAAAAAAAGCCUGUCAAUUUUUUUUCAGAGAAUAUACAUUAAAUAGCCCAAUUUAAACCUUUCAUCUAUAAAAUAUGCUACAAAUUUUUCAUCUGUUAACCAGUGGUGGUAAUCCAGUGGCGCUAGAGGAAAUAAAUCCAAUACAUCAAACCCUGGUUCGAAUCCCACUGGCCACACGGAUAUGAACUAUUACUUUCAGCUCAUUUGAAUGUCCAUGAAAGGGUUUAUCCGUGGACUGUACCUCCACCCAGGGGUUAGAUAUGUGUUUUUAAUAGACUCGGGUUCAACCUUUUUUUUACAAAAAAAAAAGAAGAUUUUUCAUCUGUUACUCAUCAAUCUUACAAAAGAACUUAAUCCUUUAGCAAAAAAAAAAAAGAAAAUCAAUCUUACAAAAGAAGGGGUUGCUUUUAAAAAGGAUGUGUCGUCCUUGUAUAUUGGUUAAUAUCUGGGAAAAAAUGGUAGUGGUUGCUUUAUUUAUUUGAUACUAGAGAUAGUGGUCGCCAUCAAUUGAAUCUGUAGUUUUGCAUCAUAUCAUAUAUCGCGUCCCAAAUAAAUAGUCAUGUGUUUUCUUCCUCAAAUAGUCAUGUUAUUUCGACAAUGGAUUCUGAAAACUUUUUAAAAAUUUACACCAAAUACCACAUUCAUAGUACUACUUUUUAUGUCUACACUAAUCAAUUUUAUCUUCACUUUUAAUGAAAGGUAAAAAAUAUUUAUACCCGUAGGAUUAACUAAUCUAGACUUAGAUUUAGAGUUGAUGAGUGGGUUAGGUUUUUAGAAUAUAAAAUUUAGAAUUUUAAUAAAUAUAUAAAUAAAUACUUAAAAUAUAUACUAUAUUUUUUUAAAAAAUAGUUUCAAACGUAAUUUUCGAUUAUCAAAAACAAGUUUAAAAUAAUAAAAAACAUUUAAAAAAAAAAGAGAAAUUCUCUAGGAUAGACCUAAAAAAGUUUUUAUCACAAAUAUAAACCUUAAAAAUAAAAAUAACCAAAAUAGACUUAAAUAUUUUAUCAAAAGAAGUAAAUAUACACUUAUACACCUAGGAUUAAUUAAUCUAGACAUUAGGGUUUAGAGUUAAGGGGUGGGGUUUAGGAUUUAGGGUUUAGGGUUUAGGAUUUAAGGUUUAGAGUUUAGGGUUUAGAGUUUAGUGUUUAGGGUUUAGAGUUGAAGAGUGGGGUUUUGGGGAUAGAAUUUCAAAUUUUUUAAAAAUAAAAAAAAAUUAAAAUUUUCAAAAUAAAAAAUGCUAUUUUGGUCAUUUUAGUUUUUGAGGUCUAUUUUUGUGACAAAGACUUAAAAAGAUCUAUUAAAGAGAAUUACCCAAAAAAAUUCAAAAAAAAAAUUAUAAAAAAAGUUCAAAUUUGAAAAAGUAUAAUUCGAAAACAUAAAAAAAUGAAUUUUUUAUUUGUUUUUUUUUAUUUAUUUAGAUAAUGAUUUAUUAUAUAUAUAAAGAAUAAGGGUAUAAGAGUCUUUUGUCACUUAAUGAAAAAAAUAUUUUUGAAAAUGUAUAUUUUAGUGGUGGUAAAAUGAAAAGUGGUUCAUCAAAAUAGUAAACAUGAAAUUUCCCCAAAUUUUUUCUUUUAAAUUUUGUGUUUACAUCCGAACUUUUCUCUAUAUGUGAAACCAUAAAAUUUCAAGCAUGUAAUACAUUCAUUCCUUAUUGUAUGAGAAUACUUGUGUUUUUUUGAAACCAUAAUAUUCUCUAUAUGUGAAACCAUAAAAUUUCAAGCAUGUAAUAUAUUCCUUAUUGUAAGAGAAUACUUGUGUUUUUUUUUGACCGAAGAGAAUACUUAUUAUGUUUAUGCAUGUACUUUAGGUUUCUUCAAAAUAUUACAAAAAAGUCUCUUUAAAAUAGAUUAUUUGUUUUCUCAUGCAGUCAGCACAUUAAUAAAUUAAAAUAAUGCAUAACAAAACAAUCAUAUUAAAUCAAACAGACAAUGAAAACUACAAUAAAAACAAUAGAAUGUAUACACAAAGGUUAUACGAUAUACGAAAAAAAAAAUCAUAUCAUAAUCUAUACUUAAAUACGAGGCUUAUUGCAAAAUGAAAAGAAUGAUGAUAUUUCACAUAUUAUACUAAAAAUAUUCUUAGUUCUUAAAUAUGCAUUUUAAUUUUUUCUUAUAUGUUGAAAUUAAGUUUGAUUUUGAGAACGAAAUUAAAGAUGUAAGAAAAAAAAGCUGACUAAUAAUAGACUGAUAGUUAAUCAAAAGAACAUAGAGUAUGAAAAUGAACUUAACCUUGAUGAGAACGGCGUCACAUUUUGGAACAGAAUCAAACAUAUCGCCUCCGACAUUCUCAACGCCAUCCAACACCUGAGCAACUUGGAUAACAUGAGGAACAUCAAAGUUAAAUCCUUUGAUCCAAGGAAACUCUUUAACCAAUAUUCCCAUCGUCUCUCCGGUACAGCCUCCUACAUCCACCACCGUAGCCACGCCUUCGAACAAGUCGUGACAAGCUCUGGCAACACGUGGCACCACGCGCCUUGUGUCACAAGCCAUGGCCUCAUUGAUCAUAUGGCUGAGGCAUGGAUUAUCCUCUGCUAAAGCCCACACAUCUUUACCGUGCACCGCAUCAAACGGUGGUGGAUGUGAACCGUUGGCCGGAGAAGCGACAACUGAGCUCAGUCUUAACCAUGGAGCUAGCAUCUCGGGACUUGUUUCGAAGAGAACGAAAGGAGCCAGAGACUUGCCGUCACGUUUUGUGAUCAUCAUAAGGCGAGAGAGUGGCGUGUUAGUGUAGCCUGUGGCUAGACCAUCUUUUAUGGGAACUUGUUUA